This is an RNA transcript of Salarias fasciatus (jewelled blenny), 1962 nucleotides long. It is a transcript of the gene named syntaxin 3b, with no coding region annotated. NCBI's taxonomy places the organism in Eukaryota, Metazoa, Chordata, Actinopteri, Blenniiformes, Blenniidae. The transcript has 12 exons. The record is from RefSeq and is a predicted model, not a curated record.
CUGGCCAGUGGGGAGGCAGAUUAUGCGGCUCUACACAACUGUUGUUUUAAUCCUCUGGCCGAGGAGAUUUAGCAAGAAAAAACAGUGGCUUUAAACCCAGCUGCCAUAUUGUAUGGAAAAGCGACGGAAAAGCUCCAGCUUUCAGAAAAAAGACGUUUCCUCAGACAACUCUUGCAAGACUUUCCAGGGAGUUUAAUAUAGUGUUUUGUUUUUUUUUCCUGGCGUUAAAAUAAACGAGUCAACAUGAAGGAUCGAUUGGAGCAACUUAAAGCGACGUGUGAUCAAGAUGAUGACGAGGUGGAGAUCGCUGUGGACAACGCAGCCUUCAUGGACGAGUUCUUCUGUCAGAUUGAAGACAUCAGGAACAGUAUUGACAAAAUCGAUGAGAACGUGGCUGAAGUGAAAAAGCUUUACUCAGUCAUCCUGUCUGCUCCCACAUCAGAUCAGAAAACGCAGGAUGACUUGGAGGCAAUCACCAAUGACAUAAAGAAGAUGGCCAACAAUGCAAGAAACAAACUCAAGACUAUUGAGAGAAAUCUGGAGUCUGAAGAGCAGGAGAGGGUGUCGGCUGAUAUGCGGAUACGUAAAUCACAGCAUGCUGUGCUGUCCAGAAAGUUUGUGGAGGUGAUGACAAAGUAUAACGAAGCACAAGUGGACUUCAGGGAGAGGAGUAAAGGACGUAUUCAGAGACAACUAGAGAUCACUGGGAAAGCAACAACAGAUGAAGAGCUGGAGGAGAUGUUGGAAAGUGGCAAUGCUGCUGUGUUUACUGCCGGGAUUGUAGACUCAGGGAUCUCUAAACAAGCCCUGAGUGAGAUCGAAUCCAGGCACAAAGACAUCGUCCGGCUGGAGAGCAGCAUCAAGGAGCUGCACGAUAUGUUUGUAGACAUCGCAAUGCUGGUGGAGAGCCAGGGUGACAUAAUAAACAACAUAGAGCAGAAUGUGUCCAAGUCAGUGGAUCACAUAAUAGAGGCGAAGGAACAGACCAAGAAAGCUGUCAGGUAUCAGACCAAAGCACGCAAGGGAGGGAUGAUCGACAGGAUUGAAAGCAACAUGGACCAGUCGGUGGGCUUUGUGGAGCGGGCUGUAGCCGACACUAAGAAAGCUGCAAAGUUUCAGCAAGAGGCUCGCCGCGUGAGUGACUCUGGUCUAAAACCAAAGAGUGGGUUCCCAAAAGCAACACAACUGUUUUUGAUUUUCUACUUGGCAAUAUAAAAUUUCUAUCACAGUCUGGACUUUUUGUUGUAAGGACUCAAAGAUGGCUGUCGUGCAUGAACACUGCUGAUGUUACCAAUGUGUAUUCUGCACAAAGGAAAACCUUAAUAACUGAAGGAGGAGACGGGACAGAUGUGAAACCUUUUAAUCAGGAGAUCAGGGUAUAAUAAUCAGGAUAUUGGAUGUUUCCACUUCCUUUAAAAUACAACAAACCCUUGAAACAAGAUGAAGACAUGUUUGAACCCUGGUGUAUUUUAUACAUACUGUUUAACUACUAAUAUGCACAGUAGACAUUGAAAAUACAGUUAAAUAAACGAUGAGUUCUGUCCUGUAGUCGUAUAUUUGGAUCUGCUGUGACUAACUGCUCGUGCUUCAUGGGAAAAAAAAGCGACUUGUGGAAUGUAUUUUUUACGCUCAGCUUUCUUUGGUUCAGCAGCAAGAUAUACGAAACAUGGAAAUUAAUUGAUUGACUCUAAAAGCAAAGUUGCUUCUGGGAAACUCGCUCUCCAUAAUGCAGACCAUCCGUACAGUGAAGACCCCGACCUCCACCUCAGUCCUGCCCUGUGAUGAUCCACAGCCCUGCAUCUUAUCGUGACCCAGCCUCCACCCUGUGGCUUCACAGCAUCGAAAACGGUGAUCCUAGUGGUGGUUGUGGUGGUUUUGCUGGCCGUGCUAGCGCUCAUAAUCGGGUUGUCAGUGGGAUUGAGAUAAUGCCCGUGUGCGGCUUGAAUAAGAGGAGAGCUAAGG